CCUACGGGAGGCAGCAGUGAGGAAUAUUGGUCAAUGGACGAGAGUCUGAACCAGCCAAGUAGCGUGAAGGAUGACUGCCCUAUGGGUUGUAAACUUCUUUUAUAUGGGAAUAAAAUGUUCCACGUGUGGGAUUUUGUAUGUACCAUAUGAAUAAGGAUCGGCUAACUCCGUGCCAGCAGCCGCGGUAAUACGGAGGAUCCGAGCGUUAUCCGGAUUUAUUGGGUUUAAAGGGAGCGUAGGUGGAUUGUUAAGUCAGUUGUGAAAGUUUGCGGCUCAACCGUAAAAUUGCAGUUGAUACUGGCAGUCUUGAGUACAGUAGAGGUAGGCGGAAUUCGUGGUGUAGCGGUGAAAUGCUUAGAUAUCACGAAGAACUCCGAUUGCGAAGGCAGUUCACUGGACUGCAACUGACACUGAGGCUCGAAAGUGUGGGUAUCAAACAGGAUUAGAUACCCUUGUAGUC
This 460-nucleotide ribosomal RNA is filed under the name uncultured bacterium. RNAcentral describes it as "partial 16S ribosomal RNA". It matches the Rfam family "Bacterial small subunit ribosomal RNA", at positions 338 to 795 of the family's 1533-position model. The record is from RNAcentral.